This 517-nucleotide ribosomal RNA is filed under the name uncultured Nitrospira sp. RNAcentral describes it as "bacterial SSU rRNA". It matches the Rfam family "Bacterial small subunit ribosomal RNA", at positions 9 to 516 of the family's 1533-position model. Lineage: Bacteria; Pseudomonadati; Nitrospirota; Nitrospiria; Nitrospirales; Nitrospiraceae. The record is from RNAcentral.
GAGUUUGAUCUUGGCUCAGAAUUAACGCUGGCAGAGUGCAUAACACAUGCAAGUCGAGCGGGACUACCUGAGAUUACAUCAACUGGUAGUCUAGCGGCAGACGAGUGAGUAACACGUAGGCAAUCUACCCUUGAAUGGUGAACAACCAGCCGAAAGGUUGGCUAAUACACCGUACUCUCCCUUGGAGGCAUCUCCGAGGGAGGAGAGCAGCAAUGCGUUCUUGGAGGAGCCUGCGGCCCAUCAGCUAGUUGGCGGUGUAAUAGACCACCAAGGCUACGACGGGUACCCGGCCUGAAAGGGCGGACGGGCACGAUGGCACUGAGACACGGGCCAUACUCCUACGGGAGGCAGCAGUGGGGAAUUUUGGACAAUGGGCGAAAGCCUGAUCCAGCAACUCUGCGUGAGGGACGAAGGUCUUCGGAUUGUAAACCUCUUUUACUUGGGAAGAAAUCCUUGAAUUCUUUCGAGGUUGACGGUACCAUAGGAAUAAGCACCGGCUAACUCCGUGCCAGCAGCC